UACGUAGGCAGCGAGCGUUGUUCGGAGUUACUGGGCGUAAAGGGUGUGUAGGCGGUUUUCUAAGUUUGGUGUGAAAUCUCCCGGCUCAACCGGGAGGGUGCGCCGAAAACUGGGAGACUAGAGUGCGGGAUGGGAGAGUAGAAUUCCUGGUGUAGCGGUGAAAUGCGUAGAUAUCAGGAGGAACACCGGUGGCGAAGGCGGCUCUCUGGACGGUGACUGACGCUGAGACGCGAAAGCGUGGGGAGCAAACAGG
Molecule: ribosomal RNA, 253 nt
Filed under: uncultured bacterium
Lineage: Bacteria
Description: partial 16S ribosomal RNA
Rfam family: Bacterial small subunit ribosomal RNA
Source: RNAcentral